Long non-coding RNA from Vespa mandarinia (Asian giant hornet), 615 nucleotides. The record is from RefSeq and is a predicted model, not a curated record. NCBI's taxonomy places the organism in Eukaryota, Metazoa, Arthropoda, Insecta, Hymenoptera, Vespidae.
ACUGUCCCUUCUUUGACCAUUGGUAACAUUACCAAUACGACAGCUGGCUUCGGAUACCGUAACCACACCGCUAUCACCUGAACCUAGAAAUAAAAGGAUGGAGGGGUAUUCCCAAUGUAUAUCAAAAUUAUUGGAUACCUUGAGAACUGGCACAGGUAUCGGCUAAUGAUUCGACAGAAGCCAAAUAUGGAUUAGUCGCAGACGAUGGAUUUCCCUGAUUGCUACAGCCACUUGACGAUGUACUAGAGGCUAUCGAACUACCAGACAAUGGUCUUCCACUUCUACAUCUUCUUUUAUAUCUGAGCUGACCUCCCCACAAAGCUGACCGAAUAUGGAACCUCGUUGUGAGUGCGGUACCAAACUCAAUCGUUUCUGCAAAGCCGCUGGUAUAUUACAAGACGCUGAGAGGACUACUUGGUGAUCUUCGUAACCAUUUCCACGACGUGCCAGCUCGUCGAACAUUCCCAAUAAUUGUGGCACCAGCAUCAACGAAUCGUGCCCCAAUGGAAGAAAGAAAAAGGGACAUCAAAGCGGAGACAACCAACAAUAAGAAAAAUAAGUAAGAGAAACUUCCCUAUUAAGAUGAGAUGGGGUUGGAAAGAGAGAGAGAGAGAG